This 558-nucleotide ribosomal RNA is filed under the name Keroplatus testaceus. RNAcentral's name for it is "eukaryotic LSU rRNA". It matches the Rfam family "Eukaryotic large subunit ribosomal RNA", at positions 402 to 812 of the family's 3401-position model. The record is from RNAcentral. Lineage: Eukaryota; Metazoa; Arthropoda; Insecta; Diptera; Keroplatidae.
AAACCGCUUAGGGGUUAAGCCCGAUGAACCUGAAUAUCUGAAAUGAGAAAUUCAAUAUUAUGUUAUUUAUUUAACUAGUAUGCACUUUUCUCAUAGUAAGACAUUGCGAUCCAUUAGUAAUUUGAAUUUAUUAAACGGCCCGUAUGUACAGUUUAUUCUAUCUGUAAUGAUUUUUAAUUAUUAUAUGAGUAAAUACAUUGCGGUGUCCUAAUAAAUAGCUGAUGGAGCUUAAAAAUCAUACAAACAUACAUGUAUGUAUCACAAUUUAAUAAUAAUAUAUUAUUUUAUGUAGUGAUUGUAUGUAUUUGAUUAGCAAUGCGAUAGAUUUGGGAUACCUUCGGGACCCGUCUUGAAACACGGACCAAGAAGUCUAACAUGUGUGCAAGUCAUUGGGUAUUGUUUGUUGAAACCUAAAGGCAUAAUUAAAAUAACUAUUUUUAAUGGGAUUACAAGUGAUUUUUAUAUUAGAUUACUUCUCCAUCCCGGGGCGUUCUAUACGAACAUGAUUAAAGCAAUUUGAUCCUCUGUUCAAGAGCGUACCUUGAGCAUACAUGCUGU